CACUCCCUUGGAUAAACACAAUUUGCAACUCACUUUAUAGAUGUGCUAGAGCCUUUGCAGCCUUUACAGUCUGUCACAUAAAUCCAUAUUCAAGUGUCAAUGUGUGAAGGGGCUGCUUUAGAGGUCCUGUGGGUGAAAACAUGAAUGGAAUUUCUAGAGGAAAUGCUCUCAAAGAUGAGUAAUUUGUCGGCUUUGCUAGUUACUUUAGAAAGAAGAUACUGAUGGUAUGAGUAUUCAACAGUGUUUUUUCUUUACACACCUGUAGCUCACAACUACCAGAGUUGGCAGUUUUGAUGGGAGAACUUCCUGAAAAUAAACUAUUGAAAGUAAGCCUCAACUCCAGGUAAGAAAAUGUCAGCUUCCCUGUACCCCCCAAAAGCUCGUUAACUCUAAUGGCAAUUUCAGGUAUACAAGGAUAGCAGCCACAACUAGCUGUAGGAAGAGGGAUUAAUACAGCUGCACUAGCACAAACAACAUCAAAGACUUUGUCAAAGUUGCUCCAAAACAACUCUGGGAUCACUGAAAUGCAAAAUUUGGCCUCCAACUUCACAUCGCCAGCUACUCCCUCACAUGUCUCACCCAGAACAGCUAUCUCCUUCCUCCUGCAUCUGCAAGAGACCCGGUUGCCUCUCUCACCCCGACCACUGCAAAGACAGCCUGCGCCUCAUGGAAGAAGCACACCACAGCAGUGAGGUGCCAUCAGGAGCUCCCAUCCCCACUGAAACAGGUGCAGCUUCUGCUCUGCUCCAACUGGGAAAGAGAGCAGCCAGGCUCACAGGGGGGUAACUGACCAAGUCUACCAUGCACCACUGCAGAAAGUCAAAUGAAGACGAAGGGGAG
Long non-coding RNA from Oxyura jamaicensis (ruddy duck), 840 nucleotides. RefSeq lists it as uncharacterized. NCBI's taxonomy places the organism in Eukaryota, Metazoa, Chordata, Aves, Anseriformes, Anatidae. The record is from RefSeq and is a predicted model, not a curated record. The transcript is spliced from 3 exons.